GCUGAACCCGGUAAAGCAGAGCAAAUGAAAAGCAAUGAAUUGCAGUUGAGCGUUCAGCUACGGUUCAGUGGAGUGAGCUGGUGCAGGUCAGCCGAAUGGCUAGCGUCCAGGUGGGAUCAGUGUCGAGGCAAGCGAAGCGAGUGGCGCGCCGGUCCGGCGGUGAGGCCGUGAGGCAGGAAGGUGUGUAGUAACUAAAGCAGAAAUUAGGAAAAAUCGGGCGGUUAUGUAAUAAAAGUAACACAGACAAAACCAACAACAACAGCAGCGGUAAGCCAACGGCAGCGGUAAAUAGGGGAGGACGCAGCGGAAUGGAAGAAAGAGUCAUAGAGUAUUGCAUGGGCAAAAGGAUUGAUGAAGGGUCAUAAAGUGGCAACAGCAGCCGCAGCCGCAGCAGCAGCAACAGCAACAGCGACGGCGGCAACAGUCGGUAAUUAGGCUAAAACAACGAAAUCGCUGAAAAUAACAACACGAACGGGUCGCAGCGCUGGGAAACAAGUGAGUUCAUUGAUGGCGCAGCGUCAAGGCAACAGAUAACGUGAACGAGCUGGGAAAAUCUGAUCGAAAGCAAUGAAAUGAAAAUAUUUGUCGAAGGAAAUACCUUAAAAAAAAACGUCAAUAAAAUGGUAUAAAAAUCGAAACUACCAAAGCGGCAGAGUAAAAAUUUAGCUGAGAACAUGUAAACACGAAGGGUGGGUGAAGCUGGAAUUUAAUUUUAUGUGAGCGCGAGCAGCAGGCAGCAACACGAGCACACUUCAGUAUGCGGAUACUUGUGUGCACUUGAAGGGUCGUGGCAUUUCGGGCGCACAGCCUGCAGAUAAUUUGACGCUAAAAUAUCUUACUCACCGCCAGACACCUUUUUCCGAGGUCCUUCUGGAGAUCGGCUAUAGGAACAAGGGGAUCCAAUAUUUUUAAAAACUAAUCGCUGAUUCUAAAAGUACAUUAAAUUCUCUUUAUGUUAAUUUUUUUUUAAGUCGUAAAAUAAAAUGCCGCUUCAAAAAAAAU
This is a non-coding RNA of Bactrocera oleae (olive fruit fly), 1002 nucleotides long. The record is from RefSeq and is a predicted model, not a curated record. NCBI's taxonomy places the organism in Eukaryota, Metazoa, Arthropoda, Insecta, Diptera, Tephritidae.